GACGAACGCUGGCGGCGUGCCUAAUACAUGCAAGUAGAACGCUGAAGGAGGAGCUUGCUUCUCUGGAUGAGUUGCGAACGGGUGAGUAACGCGUAGGUAACCUGCCUGGUAGCGGGGGAUAACUAUUGGAAACGAUAGCUAAUACCGCAUAAGAGUAGAUGUUGCAUGACAUUUGCUUAAAAGGUGCAAUUGCAUCACUACCAGAUGGACCUGCGUUGUAUUAGCUAGUUGGUGGGGUAACGGCUCACCAAGGCGACGAUACAUAGCCGACCUGAGAGGGUGAUCGGCCCCACUGGGACUGAGACACGGCCCAGACUUCUACGGGAGGCAGCAGUAGGGAAUCUUCGGCAAUGGACGGAAGUCUGACCGAGCAACGCCGCGGGAGUGCAGAAGGGUUUCGGAUCGUAAAGCUCUGUUGUAAGAGAAGAAAGAGUGUGAGAGUGGAAAGUUCACACUGUGACGGUAGCUUACCAGAAAGGGACGGCUAACUACGUG
This 495-nucleotide ribosomal RNA is filed under the name uncultured bacterium. Its description in RNAcentral is "partial 16S ribosomal RNA". It matches the Rfam family "Bacterial small subunit ribosomal RNA", at positions 28 to 507 of the family's 1533-position model. The record is from RNAcentral.